GUGUUGUAUGGAGGGGGAGAAUAGCACUCUCCUUGAUAAGGAUUGAAAGGGGAUCUCAUAUCUUGUAUAAGUAAUGUAUAUGAAGGCAGCCUACUCUGUAGCAUCUAACAAUAUUGGUUU
Molecule: small nuclear RNA, 120 nt
Organism: Monodelphis domestica (gray short-tailed opossum)
Lineage: Eukaryota; Metazoa; Chordata; Mammalia; Didelphimorphia; Didelphidae
Source: Ensembl